Long non-coding RNA from Armigeres subalbatus, 476 nucleotides. RefSeq lists it as uncharacterized. NCBI's taxonomy places the organism in Eukaryota, Metazoa, Arthropoda, Insecta, Diptera, Culicidae. The record is from RefSeq and is a predicted model, not a curated record. The transcript is spliced from 3 exons.
AGUGUUGUAUUUCCUAACACAAUGUUGCAACAAAAAAGAGUAUCAUGUAAUUUGCCCUUUCACUACGGUGUUGAAUAUUUGUUUUUGGUUUUUAUUUUCAGUUUUGGCUCCAUCAAUGGUGUCGUCAACGGAAAUCGCAUCACAUGCCGGAUCAUCUUCCGGAUCCUUAUCCUGGCACGAAAAGCAUCGUCAAUCGUCGUCGUGUUUGACCUCUGCUCCUACUUACGUCGGCGCAGCCGAAGUGUAGCCAUUCCCUGCAGCCCUCGCAGAACACCAUGUUGCUCUCGUCGUGAUCCGGACGGGUACAAAUAACACAGUUGUAUGCCGUCAGAUCCUUGUUGAGACAUCGACAGUUCAUCUACGGAUUACAUGACUCGCAGGUACAUCUUCGCGCAAGUAGUGUUGUCAGUUAGCUGCACUCUGUCGUCAUCGGUGCCUCAACAGGGAUAGUACAAACUCUUCUUAUGAUAAGUGAU